UGACUAAGAAUAAAGAAUAAAGAAUGGCUAAUGUUAAAGAAUAGCAAAUGUUAAAGAAUAGCUAAUAAGUAAAGAAUGAUUAUCAAUAAAGAAUGGCUAAGAGUAAAGAAUGGCUAAGAAUAAAAAGUUGAAUUAAUUAAUCUACUUGUAUGAGUUGCAUGAUUUGCAUAUUGUAUUUGUGAGGCAUGAACAUGUAUUAUAUGAUGUUAUAUGUAUAUAUUUGUUAGACUAACAUGUUUGCAGUGCCUCCUUUGGACCUGGUGGGUCGAGCUUUUCUCUUCGGUGGCCGUACCCAUUGGGAACUAUGGACAAUAGUUAUCACUCCCGUGUUGUUUUUAGGGAUACAGGUUCACACGCGAGUGGCGCGGCAGCGCGAGGAAAGGGCGUAGCUCCGUAGUUAGCGCCCUACCAAGAAAUGAAAAGAACCAAGUUGUAAUAAUCUUGUUAAAAACUAGAUUGUAUUUGAAAGGUAAAAAGCGAAUGAAAAGUGUAAUAUAUGAUGUAAAAUGAAAUAUAUGAGUUGAAUGCUUGUAAUAGCAUAGUAUUAUGUUUUCAAUACCUUCUUUAUGCAAUCUAUGUUUGUAUGCUGUUCCUGGUUGGAACCUCGCACAUUGUAUGGAUUGUAACGCCUCCAACAUACAGGGGAGACUUUGUCCACGGUACAGAGGAAACCCUGUUCGUUCGGCGGUCUAUUGGCGUGCCCGAAUCUGACCAAAUAGGCGAGCUCGGGGCGUGACAACAUGACUCACAAACCCCACACAAAUCCCCAAAAUCGAUUUCCCAAUACCGAUUAUCGUAACUCGCCGGAAGUCCCGAAAAUCACACCGGAAUGCCGUCGGACCCACUAAGUGUCCCGAAACUCACCGACUCAUGCCAAGAGUCACCUGCUGCCACAAAACACAUCGAUUUGGACAUCUUGGCAGCAAACACAAGAUUAGACAACUAAACAAUUAUCGCUGGAUAAUUGUUUGGAUUCAGAUUCCCGGAAGUGUCCAUUUCGACACCGGAACCCACCGUCGCUCACCCGUCAUCUCCGAACUCACGAUAUGACGAUGGUGACCAGCCGACAAGGCUCAGCGACAACUCUUAGGGCAAACAAACACCGUCGGAUGAAAUCUGAACCGAAAUCGCGUUCCGCCGGCGAAUUUCGCCAAAAAACGCACCAAAAUCGACCUCCGAUUUUCGCAAAGGCGAACGGGACUUGGACGAUCAGUCCAGAGGUCAACUACCACACGAACAUACAACCUACAGUAGCCACAUGAUGCAAAAUUACAUAAAAGUCCCUCUAUUUACAUAAAAUCCUAUUAUUUUAUGCAAAUAAAAUGUCGAGCUUUUCUCAAAAUUACCAUUUUGCCAUUAAUGACCCCUCCUCGAUCAAUGUGCUAUAUCAGAAGAUCCGUUCGUCAGAUUUACGUACGGACCGUAACAGUGCGAUCAGCACGACAGAGACAACAAACCCACGACUUUGUUUUACCUCGAUUGGUCACGGAUUCGCGAUGAAACCAGUUCUGUAACACAUUGGACCUUUGCAAAUUGCGAGGUUCAAGUGUUUGAUCAGUGUUCCGAGUUUUUUCAGAUAUUCUGGAGGGUCGUUGACAGUGUUCCGACCUAUGGCUCGUAUUCCGAGAAUUGUAGUAUUUAAAGUAGCGCUAAGGUCACCAAAGUGAUGGACUUAGGCUGCUCUCAGAUUACAUUUUGCUGGGCUGUGUACCGGUACACCUUGAUGGUUGUACCGGUAUAGAAUGUGUACCGGUGACAACUCGAUAGUUGUACCGGUACAAAUGCAAUCUCUUAGCCAACCCGAGUCUCGGAUUUGCGCGUACAGGAUUUUGUACCAGUACACUUUCCCAUGUACCGGUACACUUUGCCAGAUUUCGAAAUGGCAGUUUUUGAAGGGUGUUUUUGGAAUUGUAGCCUUAUUACAAAUAUCCCCCACGCCCCUUGGAGUUCUCUUGAGCUAAGACCAGUGGAGGAGAAGGUAGCGAAGCCCUCCUCUUCCUCUCUUUGAUUCUCCUUCAUUUAGUUGAGAUUUUUGAAGCUUAAUCACCUCUUUUUGCUCCUUUAUGCUUCCUGGUGCCACUUCCACCAUGGGAGAAGCUUGGAAGCUCGGGUAGGAGCUUCUUGGAGGGAUGAUUCUCAGCCCUAGAGCAUUUUGAGCCUUGAUUGGAGCUUUUAAAGAGGUUGGUAACAUGUAUUCCUCAUUUAAUACAUGUUUUGUUGGAUUUUCUUGUUGGAACCCUAGAAAUGGAAGAACUAGGGUUUUAAAAUGGGGGUUUUUGGUUAGAGGCUUUUGGAGCCUAAUUGGUUUAAUUAGAACCUUUGUUUAGAUUGAAUUUGGAGGGAUCUUGCUCUCAUUUGGAGUUUGAGAGAGAUUUUCACCAUAUAAGGUGAGAUUUUGGCCUUUUUUGAGUUGGUUAAUGUUUAACCUAUUCGUUAUUCGUAACGUUCGUGUAACACUCCUAGUUUAACCUUCAGGGAGCUAGGAAGCUUAUGGACACUUUCAUCGGCGCAAACGAAGGGUUGCGAGGAGACUUGGUGGGUUUGGCCUCACCAAAACGGGAUAAAUCAUCCCUAUGAUGGUUUUUACUUAACGUAAAAUGAAAAUACAUGCAUAUUCAUGCUAGAUAGAAUAUUUGAGAAUUUUGGAAUACUUAAAAUUCACAUAUUAUGUAUAAUGCAUUUUUGGACCUCUAUAUAGUAGAGAGUUUCCAUGUUGGGUUUGGGCCUAUGGAUAGCACUCCUAUGUGUGGAUUUAGAUCAUGUUUCAUAGUAAAAAUGACAAGUGCAAUACAUUCUUGGACUUAGACUCAUCAUUGGUAUAGUAAGCUAAUGUCAUAAAGAAACAUUGGGCUCGGAAUUGGUAUAAUAAGCUAAUGUCAUAAAGAGACAUUGGGCUCGAAAUUGGUAUAGUAAGCUAAUGUCAUAAAGAGACAUUGGACUCGAAAUUGAUAUAGUAAGCUAAUGUCAUAAAGAGACAUUGGACUUGGAAUUAGUAUAGUAAUCUAAAGUCAACAAAACAUGCUCGAUCCCUCGCCGCCGCCCGGAGGCGCCUCGGCCGCCGCCGAGGCCGGUGUGGCACCCCGAGCCCGAGCUCGGCUUGUGUGGGAUCAGCUUGCUCCACGGUCGCCGCCGCCGCCUCCCGCCGCUGGCCAGCGCGAGCCCCUACCUCCCUUCGUCAACCGUACCCGUCGGCCGCCGUCGCGCCCGCCCCCGAGCCGCCGCCGGCCGUGCCCUAGCUCCCCCCUAUCGAUAAAGGUAUUUGGCAUUGUUUCUGGUUGUUGUUUUGGGUUGCACAGGCUUUUUCGGCAAUCCGAGGCUGUUCUUGUAAGAUAUUGAAUCCUCGUUGUAAUAAACCACUUUUGGUCAAAGUAACCAAAGCGUUGCGAGUUGGAUGCUUGGACAUGAUCUAUUUGACAUUCCAAGGAUGUUGGAAGGGUCAAAGUUGAGUUCUAAAAGAGGUUGACGAGUUUUAGCAUUGCUCGACGCGAAAUAAAAGUCGAUCAAGUGCUAAACUGCAGUCUGGGCAUUUCGUAUCGGUACGGCAUCAAGGUGGUACCGGUACCCCGUAGCAGACUGAGAGUAGUAGCUCUCGGGUUUGAGAAGUUUUGGCUUUUAAACCGGUGACACCCCUGGUGCGUACCGGUACCAGAGCAGCUACCCGAGAAGGCAGCUCUCGGGUUUGGCCUCUACGCAGCUGUUAAACCGGUGACAGAUUGCCGCGUACCAAUACCAACUGCAGAAAACUGCAGUUUUGGUCUGUUGCAAUUGGGGAAUUUCCUCACCGUUGGAGCAAGCUUUUCAGGUAAGCUCUAUGGAGCUUUAAUAGUGGAUUUCUAUGGUUAAGUUUUUAUACCUUAGAAUUGGUUUUGGGUGAACCCUAGGAUAUUAGAUAGAUGAUUAUUGCUUGAAUAGCGAAGCUAUACAUCGGAUUCUUGCAAUAAUUAUGCGUUAGGGUUCUAAAGAGGGUUUUGUAAAGAUGAGAUCUAAAGUUGGGAUUGAUCUCUUUUAUACAUAUCUGCUAGGUGUUCUAGCGCGUUGGUGAACUCGGUUUGGCGAUCCGACGAGUCGGCGCGAAGAUAUUGAAGAAAAGCCUAUUUUUGGCUUCGUUUGCCGCAGUGGGAAAAAAUAGGCGGCGGAAAGUUGCGAAACUUGGAAUCUAGGAUCGCGGCAUCACCAAGAGGUGGGUGGUGUCAUCCCGAAGCAGAUGGACUUCCUUCUAUGUCCGAGUUAGAUUGUCGAUCACAUUUCACAUAUUGCUCUUAUGCAUUAUAGGAUGUAAGGUUUAGUUGCAUUUCUACUUCCUUGCAUGCAUUUUUAGUAGUGUAGCACUAUGGGCUUGACACCUAAACCUAGGGAGCAUGAGGAUUGGGUCAUGUGACAUGAAAUCCUCUAGUGAUAAGAAAAAGGGUAAACUUGAACUUGAUGAUAAAGACGAGUGGCAUGUAAAUAAUGUCGAUGACAUGACGAGUGGCAUGAAAUUUAGUGUAGAUGAAACACUAGACAUGGACUAUGAUAUAUGGUAUAGAACAUAGUGUAGUUGAGACACUUGACAUGGACAUUGGGAUAGUUGAGUUUCCGAGUUUCUGUUAGCCCUAGUUGACAGGGCAUCCUCAGUUGGCGAGGAUGGAAUCAUACUCACAUGGUCUGUUUUUACGCUUGGAGUGGUCGCUCCACCCAAGCAGUGCACUCCGGAGUUCGUCACCCGAGGGACAGAUGUAGUUGUUCGGCAGACGGUCCUGGGUGAGGUAAAUGCUAGGUAGCUUCUCAUCUAAGGGAUUCGAAAUGUGAGUCGGGGCGUAACCUUCGGGUUAGCCAACUGGAUUGGGUAAUGAUCUUAUGAGAGAUAUGCAUCUUGAGCAUAGUAGAUGUUGCAUUCAUACUUGAUGUAGUGACAUAGUAGCAUGUUUGUAACGUAUGGAAACUUGGAGUUGCGAUGUCAACUUUGACCUAGAGGGUCAAAGUGAGGAUUGAGCUAGUUGGACAUCAUCCCCGAGUGAUUUGUGAUGCGUGUGAAUGAAUUCUGGAGAUAAAUAAGUGUUUCGGCGCAAGUUGGGCGUGAAACGAAAUAUAAAGAGAAUUUCGGAUUUCCGACNAAGGUAUUUGAGAUUUUGUAAAUGUAAAAUCUGUGAGAUGAAUGCUUGUAAUAGCAUUGUUAGCCUUUUAUGUUUUUUUGAUACUUAUACAAUCUAUGUGUGAAUGCUGUUCCUGGUUGGGACCUCUUCUGUUGCAUUAUAUGGAUUGUGACGCCUAGGACGUACAGGGAAAGCUCUGUCCGUUCGGCGGUCUGUCGGCGUGCCCGAAUCUGACCAAAUUGGCGGAGCUCGGGGCGUGACAAUGU
RNAcentral lists this long non-coding RNA (5338 nucleotides) under Ananas comosus (pineapple). Its description in RNAcentral is "long non-coding RNA (ACOM_LNC000606)". Lineage: Eukaryota; Viridiplantae; Streptophyta; Magnoliopsida; Poales; Bromeliaceae. The record is from RNAcentral.